AGGACGAACGCUGGCGGCGUGCUUAACACAUGCAAGUCGAGCGGAAAGGCCCUUCGGGGUACUCGAGCGGCGAACGGGUGAGUAACACGUGAGCAACCUGCCCCUGGCUCUGGGAUAGCCUCCGGAAACGGGGAUUAAUACCGGACAUUCUCCGCCUUCCGCAUGGUUGGCGGUGGAAAGUUUUUUCGGCCGGGAGGGCUCGCGGCCUAUCAGCUUGUUGGCGGGGUAACGGCCCACCAAGGCGACGACGGGUAGCC
This 257-nucleotide ribosomal RNA is filed under the name uncultured bacterium. RNAcentral describes it as "partial small subunit ribosomal RNA". It matches the Rfam family "Bacterial small subunit ribosomal RNA", at positions 26 to 288 of the family's 1533-position model. The record is from RNAcentral.